UUGAUCCUGGCUCAGAAUCAACGCUGGCGGCGUGCCUAACACAUGCAAGUCGAACGAGAAAGCGGUAGCAAUACCGUGAGUACAGUGGCGCACGGGUGAUUAACACGUGGAUAACCUGCCUUUGAGCGGGGAAUAACCCUGGGAAACCGUGGCUAAAACCGCAUGACAUCCCGGAACGAUGUUCUGGGAUUGAAAUUCGUAAGAAGCUCGAAGAGGGGUCCGCGGCUGAUUAGCUAGUUGGUGAGGUAAUGGCCCACCAAGGCUUUGAUCAGUAGCCGGCCUGAGAGGGCGGACGGCCAUACUGGAACUGAAACACGGUCCAGACUCCUACGGGAGGCAGCAGUGGGGAUUUUUGCGCAAUGGGGGAAACCCUGACGCAGCAACGCCGCGUGGACGAUGUAGCAUCUCGGUGUGUAAAGUCCUUUCGGCAGGGACGAAUAAAUUGACGGUACCUGCAGAAGAAGCCCCGGCUAACUCCGUGCCAGCAGCCGCGGUAAUAUGGU
RNAcentral lists this ribosomal RNA (503 nucleotides) under uncultured Acidobacteriota bacterium. Its description in RNAcentral is "bacterial SSU rRNA". It matches the Rfam family "Bacterial small subunit ribosomal RNA", at positions 13 to 529 of the family's 1533-position model. Lineage: Bacteria; Pseudomonadati; Acidobacteriota. The record is from RNAcentral.